RNAcentral lists this ribosomal RNA (253 nucleotides) under uncultured bacterium. RNAcentral's name for it is "partial 16S ribosomal RNA". It matches the Rfam family "Bacterial small subunit ribosomal RNA", at positions 524 to 776 of the family's 1533-position model. The record is from RNAcentral.
UACGCAGGGAGCAAGCGUUGUCCGGAAUCAUUGGGCGUAAAGCGCGCGUAGGUGGCCUCAUAAGUCCGCUGUGAAAGUCAAAGGCUCAACCUUUGAAAGCCGGUGGAUACUGUGAGGCUAGAGUACGGAAGAGGCGAGUGGAAUUCCUGGUGUAGCGGUGGAAUGCGCAGAUAUCAGGAGGAACACCAAUAGCGAAGGCAGCUCGCUGGGACGUUACUGACACUGAGGCGCGAAAGCGUGGGGAGCGAACAGG